This 236-nucleotide long non-coding RNA is filed under the name Gossypium raimondii (Peruvian cotton). Its description in RNAcentral is "long non-coding RNA (GRAI_LNC008910)". The record is from RNAcentral. Lineage: Eukaryota; Viridiplantae; Streptophyta; Magnoliopsida; Malvales; Malvaceae.
GAAGGCUAAGUACGGAUUCUAAGCCUCAAUAACCCUUUUGGGGAUUUUUGACAACCUUCGGCUAGAUGGGUUUAGUGGCUCAUGGUUGUGGUAGAAAAGAAAAUAAAUAAAAUAAAAAUAAAGAUUUUAUUGAAAAGAAAUAUGAAAAGAACAAAAGCCUAGACUUUUGGGGAGAGAGUGUUUACAGAAAAAGAAAAGAUGGGCUCCCCUUUUGAGUCACUUCACCCCCUAUUUAU